GUAAAUAUAGUUCAAUCAGAACAUUAGAUUGUGAAUCUAAAAAUAGAAAUUAAUACUUCUCAUUUACCG
This 69-nucleotide transfer RNA is filed under the name Rhinopithecus roxellana (golden snub-nosed monkey). RNAcentral describes it as "tRNA-His". It matches the Rfam family "tRNA". From Rfam's summary of the family: Transfer RNA (tRNA) molecules are approximately 80 nucleotides in length. Their secondary structure includes four short double-helical elements and three loops (D, anti-codon, and T loops). Lineage: Eukaryota; Metazoa; Chordata; Mammalia; Primates; Cercopithecidae. The record is from RNAcentral.